GUGGUAAUGCCGGAUGUUCCACAUGAUCGCAUGUGAUUGUGGGAAAGAUUCUAUCGGCGUGGGAUGGGGUCGCGUCCUAUCAGCUUGUUGGUGAGGUAACGGCUCACCAAGGCUUCGACGGGUAGCCGGCCUGAGAGGGCGACCGGCCACAUUGGGACUGAGAUACGGCCCAGACUCCUACGGGAGGCAGCAGUGGGGAAUAUUGCACAAUGGGCGCAAGCCUGAUGCAGCGACGCCGCGUGAGGGAUGGAGGCCUUCGGGUUGUAAACCUCUUUUGUUUGGGAGCAAGCCUUCGGGUGAGUGUACCUUUCGAAUAAGCGCCGGCUAACUACGUGCCAGCAGCCGCGGUAAUACGUAGGGCGCAAGCGUUAUCCGGAUUUAUUGGGCGUAAAGGGCUCGUAGGCGGCUCGUCGCGUCCGGUGUGAAAGUCCAUCGCUUAACGGUGGAUCUGCGCCGGGUACGGGCGGGCUGGAGUGCGGUAGGGGAGACUGGAAUUCCCGGUGUAACGGUGGAAUGUGUAGAUAUCGGAAA
RNAcentral lists this ribosomal RNA (531 nucleotides) under Bifidobacterium bifidum. Its description in RNAcentral is "bacterial SSU rRNA". It matches the Rfam family "Bacterial small subunit ribosomal RNA", at positions 160 to 703 of the family's 1533-position model. The record is from RNAcentral. Lineage: Bacteria; Bacillati; Actinomycetota; Actinomycetes; Bifidobacteriales; Bifidobacteriaceae.